Molecule: ribosomal RNA, 2927 nt
Filed under: Salmonella enterica
Lineage: Bacteria; Pseudomonadati; Pseudomonadota; Gammaproteobacteria; Enterobacterales; Enterobacteriaceae
Description: bacterial LSU rRNA
Rfam family: Bacterial large subunit ribosomal RNA
Source: RNAcentral
GGGUUGUGAGGUUAAGCGACUAAGCGUACACGGUGGAUGCCCUGGCAGUCAGAGGCGAUGAAGGGCGUGCUAAUCUGCGAUAAGCGCCGGUAAGGUGAUAUGAACCGUUAUAACCGGCGAUACCCGAAUGGGGAAACCCAGUGUGACUCGUCACACUAUCAUUAACUGAAUCCAUAGGUUAAUGAGGCGAACCGGGGGAACUGAAACAUCUAAGUACCCCGAGGAAAAGAAAUCAACCGAGAUUCCCCCAGUAGCGGCGAGCGAACGGGGAGGAGCCCAGAGCCUGAAUCAGCAUGUGUGUUAGUGGAAGCGUCUGGAAAGGCGCGCGAUACAGGGUGACAGCCCCGUACACAAAAGCGCAUGUGCUGUGAGCUCGAUGAGUAGGGCGGGACACGUGGUAUCCUGUCUGAAUAUGGGGGGACCAUCCUCCAAGGCUAAAUACUCCUGACUGACCGAUAGUGAACCAGUACCGUGAGGGAAAGGCGAAAAGAACCCCGGCGAGGGGAGUGAAAAAGAACCUGAAACCGUGUACGUACAAGCAGUGGGAGCACAGGUUUACCUGUGUGACUGCGUACCUUUUGUAUAAUGGGUCAGCGACUUAUAUUCUGUAGCAAGGUUAACCGAAUAGGGGAGCCGUAGGGAAACCGAGUCUUAACCGGGCGUUAAGUUGCAGGGUAUAGACCCGAAACCCGGUGAUCUAGCCAUGGGCAGGUUGAAGGUUGGGUAACACUAACUGGAGGACCGAACCGACUAAUGUUGAAAAAUUAGCGGAUGACCUGUGGCUGGGGGUGAAAGGCCAAUCAAACCGGGAGAUAGCUGGUUCUCCCCGAAAGCUAUUUAGGUAGCGCCUCGUGAAUUCAUCUCCGGGGGUAGAGCACUGUUUCGGCUAGGGGGCCAUCCCGGCUUACCAACCCGAUGCAAACUGCGAAUACCGGAGAAUGUUAUCACGGGAGACACACGGCGGGUGCUAACGUCCGUCGUGAAGAGGGAAACAACCCAGACCGCCAGCUAAGGUCCCAAAGUCAUGGUUAAGUGGGAAACGAUGUGGGAAGGCCCAGACAGCCAGGAUGUUGGCUUAGAAGCAGCCAUCAUUUAAAGAAAGCGUAAUAGCUCACUGGUCGAGUCGGCCUGCGCGGAAGAUGUAACGGGGCUAAACCAUGCACCGAAGCUGCGGCAGCGACGCUUAUGCGUUGUUGGGUAGGGGAGCGUUCUGUAAGCCUGUGAAGGUGGCCUGUGAGGGUUGCUGGAGGUAUCAGAAGUGCGAAUGCUGACAUAAGUAACGAUAAAGCGGGUGAAAAGCCCGCUCGCCGGAAGACCAAGGGUUCCUGUCCAACGUUAAUCGGGGCAGGGUGAGUCGACCCCUAAGGCGAGGCCGAAAGGCGUAGUCGAUGGGAAACGGGUUAAUAUUCCCGUACUUGGUGUUACUGCGAAGGGGGGACGGAGAAGGCUAUGUUGGCCGGGCGACGGUUGUCCCGGUUUAAGCGUGUAGGCUGGUUUUCCAGGCAAAUCCGGAAAAUCAAGGCUGAGGCGUGACGACGAGGCACUACGGUGCUGAAGCAACAAAUGCCCUGCUUCCAGGAAAAGCCUCUAAGCAUCAGGUAACAUCAAAUCGUACCCCAAACCGACACAGGUGGUCAGGUAGAGAAUACCAAGGCGCUUGAGAGAACUCGGGUGAAGGAACUAGGCAAAAUGGUGCCGUAACUUCGGGAGAAGGCACGCUGACACGUAGGUGAAGUGAUUUACUCAUGGAGCUGAAGUCAGUCGAAGAUACCAGCUGGCUGCAACUGUUUAUUAAAAACACAGCACUGUGCAAACACGAAAGUGGACGUAUACGGUGUGACGCCUGCCCGGUGCCGGAAGGUUAAUUGAUGGGGUCAGCGCAAGCGAAGCUCCUGAUCGAAGCCCCGGUAAACGGCGGCCGUAACUAUAACGGUCCUAAGGUAGCGAAAUUCCUUGUCGGGUAAGUUCCGACCUGCACGAAUGGCGUAAUGAUGGCCAGGCUGUCUCCACCCGAGACUCAGUGAAAUUGAACUCGCUGUGAAGAUGCAGUGUACCCGCGGCAAGACGGAAAGACCCCGUGAACCUUUACUAUAGCUUGACACUGAACAUUGAGCCUUGAUGUGUAGGAUAGGUGGGAGGCUUUGAAGCGUGGACGCCAGUCUGCGUGGAGCCGACCUUGAAAUACCACCCUUUAAUGUUUGAUGUUCUAACGUGGACCCGUAAUCCGGGUUGCGGACAGUGUCUGGUGGGUAGUUUGACUGGGGCGGUCUCCUCCUAAAGAGUAACGGAGGAGCACGAAGGUUGGCUAAUCCUGGUCGGACAUCAGGAGGUUAGUGCAAUGGCAUAAGCCAGCUUGACUGCGAGCGUGACGGCGCGAGCAGGUGCGAAAGCAGGUCAUAGUGAUCCGGUGGUUCUGAAUGGAAGGGCCAUCGCUCAACGGAUAAAAGGUACUCCGGGGAUAACAGGCUGAUACCGCCCAAGAGUUCAUAUCGACGGCGGUGUUUGGCACCUCGAUGUCGGCUCAUCACAUCCUGGGGCUGAAGUAGGUCCCAAGGGUAUGGCUGUUCGCCAUUUAAAGUGGUACGCGAGCUGGGUUUAGAACGUCGUGAGACAGUUCGGUCCCUAUCUGCCGUGGGCGCUGGAGAACUGAGGGGGGCUGCUCCUAGUACGAGAGGACCGGAGUGGACGCAUCACUGGUGUUCGGGUUGUCAUGCCAAUGGCACUGCCCGGUAGCUAAAUGCGGAAGAGAUAAGUGCUGAAAGCAUCUAAGCACGAAACUUGCCCCGAGAUGAGUUCUCCCUGAGACUUAGAGUCUCCUGAAGGAACGUUGAAGACGACGACGUUGAUAGGCCGGGUGUGUAAGCGCAGCGAUGCGUUGAGCUAACCGGUACUAAUGAACCGUGAGGCUUAACCUUACAACGCCGAAG